GUAUCAAUGAUGAGAACAAUUGUCUGAGGAUGCAAAUGACUCAUGCCAAUAGAAAUAUGGGGUCC
Molecule: small nucleolar RNA, 65 nt
Organism: Peromyscus eremicus (cactus mouse)
Lineage: Eukaryota; Metazoa; Chordata; Mammalia; Rodentia; Cricetidae
Product: small nucleolar RNA SNORD109A
Exons: 1
Source: RefSeq, a predicted model, not a curated record